RNAcentral lists this ribosomal RNA (253 nucleotides) under uncultured Blautia sp. RNAcentral describes it as "partial 16S ribosomal RNA". It matches the Rfam family "Bacterial small subunit ribosomal RNA", at positions 524 to 776 of the family's 1533-position model. Lineage: Bacteria; Bacillati; Bacillota; Clostridia; Lachnospirales; Lachnospiraceae. The record is from RNAcentral.
UACGUAUGGAGCAAGCGUUAUCCGGAUUUACUGGGCGUAAAGGGAGCGUAGGCGGCCUGCCAAGUCUGAUGUGAAAAUCCGGGGCCCAACCCCGGAACUGCAUUGGAAACUGUAUUUCUAGAGUGUCGGAGAGGCAAGUGGAAUUCCUGGUGUAGCGGUGAAAUGCGUAGAUAUCAGGAGGAACACCAGUGGCGAAGGCGGCUUGCUGGACGAUGACUGACGUUGAGGCUCGAAAGCGUGGGGAGCAAACAGG